Molecule: ribosomal RNA, 521 nt
Filed under: uncultured beta proteobacterium
Lineage: Bacteria; Pseudomonadati; Pseudomonadota; Betaproteobacteria
Description: bacterial SSU rRNA
Rfam family: Bacterial small subunit ribosomal RNA
Source: RNAcentral
AAUUUUGGACAAUGGGCGCAAGCCUGAUCCAGCAAUGCCGCGUGCAGGAAGAAGGCCUUCGGGUUGUAAACUGCUUUUGUCAGGGAAGAAAUCCUUUAGGUUAAUACCCUUGGGGGGAUGACGGUACCUGAAGAAUAAGCACCGGCUAACUACGUGCCAGCAGCCGCGGUAAUACGUAGGGUGCAAGCGUUAAUCGGAAUUACUGGGCGUAAAGCGUGCGCAGGCGGCUUUGCAAGACAGAUGUGAAAUCCCCGGGCUCAACCUGGGAACUGCAUUUGUGACUGCAAGGCUAGAGUACGGUAGAGGGGGAUGGAAUUCCGCGUGUAGCAGUGAAAUGCGUAGAUAUGCGGAGGAACACCAAUGGCGAAGGCAAUCCCCUGGACCUGUACUGACGCUCAUGCACGAAAGCGUGGGGAGCAAACAGGAUUAGAUACCCUGGUAGUCCACGCCCUAAACGAUGUCAACUGGUUGUUGGACGGCUUGCUGUUCAGUAACGAAGCUAACGCGUGAAGUGACCGCCU